GAAACGUGAAUCCGGCACCACGCCCGUGGGUCAGACCGGGACCGUCCCGCCGCAAGGCAGGACUAUC
Small RNA from Actinoplanes derwentensis, 67 nucleotides. It matches the Rfam family "Transposase-2 RNA". The record is from Rfam. Lineage: Bacteria; Bacillati; Actinomycetota; Actinomycetes; Micromonosporales; Micromonosporaceae.